CCUGUAGUUCAAUGGUAGAGCACUAGCUUCCCAAGCUAGCCACACGGGUUCGAUUCCCGCCAGGU
Molecule: transfer RNA, 65 nt
Filed under: bovine gut metagenome
Rfam family: tRNA
About the family: Transfer RNA (tRNA) molecules are approximately 80 nucleotides in length. Their secondary structure includes four short double-helical elements and three loops (D, anti-codon, and T loops).
Source: RNAcentral